Pteropus alecto (black flying fox) is the source of this 1241-nucleotide long non-coding RNA. RefSeq lists it as uncharacterized. Lineage: Eukaryota; Metazoa; Chordata; Mammalia; Chiroptera; Pteropodidae. The transcript is spliced from 3 exons. The record is from RefSeq and is a predicted model, not a curated record.
CCAAGAGCGAGGCUUGGAGAAGCUGUAAAAAUUUCCCACCCUACCUGCUAACUGAAAAAUAGGACAACUUUCAGUCUCGAGGGCAAGAAAGUAAAUGCAUCGAUGAUGCCCCUUUCCCAGAUCAGCUUGGGGACUUUACUGUCAAUAUUCCCCAGGAGUGUCCCUGCUCAGAGGAAAUAAAAAAAAGAAAAGACAAAAAGCAAUUACUACCACCUCACAGCAAGACUGGAGACCUCUAAUGUAACCGUUUUGAGAAAAAGCUUAGAAACCACCCAAAAGGUGAAGGGGCAAGGCAGGUUCUGUUCACCCAGAAUUCUUCAUGCUCCUCUGGAGACCGACGUGUUCAUCCAUCUAUGUGUCCAUUUAAUUAUUUACUUAGCAAUCACUGACUGCGCAGUCACCGGGUAUCACCUGGGGUUCUCGGGUCAACAAGACGCAUUUCCUGUCCCUGAGGAGCUAAUUUCUAAUAUACGAACAAGCCACCAGACACCCAUACCAGCAAUUUCCAUGCUACCUGGUAGUUGUCAUGACGGAAUUCACACAGUUGGAAGCCUACAGAAGUGAUGCUUUUGUGCAAUCAGGAGAAUUUCUACACAGAUGAUCCACCAACGCGUCACUUCUGAAAGCUGCGAGGUGCUGCCGGGAGGAAGGGAGUAUGAGAAGGUGUUCGUGCGAAUUUCCUCUGUCCUCUGAUGAUUCACGGUGUUCCUUCCUCUUGGAUAACUCCCGCCUGAGAGGUGGGAAUGCAGCGGCUUCAUCGGAACAGAGAAGAAAUCUUGAAUCAAUAGAAAAAUAAUAGUUUUUUUUGUUUGGAUAGGAACAUGUUAAUAUUUAAAUGAGACUAAUUCUCCCUAAAUUAAGGUAGAACUUUAAAGCAAACCCAACAAAUAUACUAGAAGGAUUUUCUUUAACAUAGCAAGCUGAUUCUAAAAUUCAUGUGAAAAUAAACAAACAAAAAGUGAUCCACAGAAGAAUUCUGAUGCACAAAAGUAAGGAGGGAUAAAUAGUGUACUAGUAACUAAAAUAACCACUGCUGUAUUCCAAACACACAGACGAAUGGUGGUUACACAGCAUGCUUUCAUGAAAACGUUGGAUAAAGGCAUAAAAGAAUGAAUUUGAGCCAGAACGACAACUAGUUGGUGCUGGUAGAGACGUGAUGAUCUGUGGAGUAGCAAAGAGAAUCUAGAGACAUACUCAGAUCCGAGUGGGAAAUUAGCAUGAGAUACAGAUGACUCCUGGGU